RNAcentral lists this ribosomal RNA (450 nucleotides) under uncultured bacterium. Its description in RNAcentral is "bacterial SSU rRNA". It matches the Rfam family "Bacterial small subunit ribosomal RNA", at positions 354 to 796 of the family's 1533-position model. The record is from RNAcentral.
GUAGGGAAUAUUGCGCAAUGGACGCAAGUCUGACGCAGCAACGCCGCGUGGGUGAUGAAGCUCCUUGGAGUGUAAAACCCUGUCAGUGGGGAAGAAACGUGCAGGGAGCAACUACCCUGCACCUGACGGUACCCACAGAGGAAGUCCCGGCUAACUCCGUGCCAGCAGCCGCGGUAAUACGGGGGGGACGAGCGUUGUUCGGAUUUACUGGGCGUAAAGGGCGCGUAGGCGGACCGUUAAGUCGGGUGUGAAAACUGUCAGCUCAACUGCCAGCUUGCAUUCGAUACUGACGGCCUUGAGUACGGGAGAGGAGAGUGGAAUUCCAGGUGUAGCGGUGAAAUGCGUAGAUAUCUGGAAGAACACCAGUAGCGAAGGCGGCUCUCUGGCCCGAUACUGACGCUCAAGCGCGAAGGCUUGGGGAGCAAACAGGAUUAGAAACCCUAGUAGUCC